RNAcentral lists this transfer RNA (71 nucleotides) under Bacteroidales bacterium. RNAcentral describes it as "tRNA-Gln". It matches the Rfam family "tRNA". From Rfam's summary of the family: Transfer RNA (tRNA) molecules are approximately 80 nucleotides in length. Lineage: Bacteria; Pseudomonadati; Bacteroidota; Bacteroidia; Bacteroidales. The record is from RNAcentral.
UGUCCCGUGGUGUAAUGGCAACACAACUGGUUUUGGUCCAGUCAUUUCAAGUUCGAAUCUUGACGGGAUAA